UGGAGUGUGGUGUAGUGGUUUGAGUGUCAGACUACAACUCUGGAGACUAGGGUUCGAGUCCCUACUCAGCCA
Phrynosoma platyrhinos (Desert horned lizard) is the source of this 72-nucleotide non-coding RNA. Lineage: Eukaryota; Metazoa; Chordata; Lepidosauria; Squamata; Phrynosomatidae. The record is from the annotation of a GenBank genome assembly.